ACUUUUGUUUCCGUGCAAGGUUCUCCGCCGGUCGCAGCCGGCAUGGGAUCAAAAGGGAACUCCUGUGAAAAUCAGGGACUAUUCCCGUAGCUGUAAGCUCCAUAACGGUCCGCACACUCUUUAGGCCACUGUCCGUGAGGACGGGAAGGCGUGCGGACGGAGCGAGUCAGAAGACCUGCCUUGCCGGGAUAGGUACC
RNAcentral lists this non-coding RNA (197 nucleotides) under Alistipes timonensis JC136. RNAcentral also lists the same sequence under 1 other name. The record is from RNAcentral. Lineage: Bacteria; Pseudomonadati; Bacteroidota; Bacteroidia; Bacteroidales; Rikenellaceae.